AUAAAAAAUGAUAUCACCUACGAAGUGAAUCACUUCAACCAAUUUCCUUGGAGUAAACACAACGAAAAUUUAUCGAGGACCCACUCACCUUGACCGCACGUGUAUAUUAUAAUAACUGAAAACACUAACAAUUUACACAACGUAUAAUCGUACAUGAUCAAAACUCAGUAAAUUCACAUCCGCUCCGAAAUGUUCGCACGUGUGUGAAACGAGUGCUGCGCGAUCGGUUUCGCGAUGGGCCUGUGAUAAGGGUUGAUAAGGUGAUAGCGAUAAGGAGACCGCGGCGAGUUCGGGCGCGCUGGCCCGCGCCUCCCUACGUCUUCACAGCUCGACAUCUGCCGCACCUCUACAGUCCACGCCGAGUGAACGCUCAUCAAACACUCAUUCAACUUCGUUGCCGACGAACAUGCGGUGAUUUUAAUUGGAUUUAUGGAUGCCCGAUAUUCGAUACUACUUGUUCUCGCUUUGUCAUGCCUAUGUCCGACAACCAAGAGAUGAUUUUUUUAAAAUGGACUCUAAAAAUGCAGGAUUUUCUCAAUUCGACAGUAUUUUUAUCUGUGCGUGUGUAACUUCAGAACUUUUUUAUAAGUGAACCGAUUUUGAUGAUUCUUUUUAUUUAUUUGAUAGUUAGUGCUUUUGAUGUAGUCCUAAUUAAAUUUUAUUAAGAUCUGAA
This is a long non-coding RNA of Bombyx mori (domestic silkworm), 673 nucleotides long. RefSeq lists it as uncharacterized. The transcript is spliced from 3 exons. The record is from RefSeq and is a predicted model, not a curated record. NCBI's taxonomy places the organism in Eukaryota, Metazoa, Arthropoda, Insecta, Lepidoptera, Bombycidae.